CUACAUCACUCCCUGCGUCUCUCUGUCGAACGACUUCCAAGCUUUUCAGAGAUAAUCAUCGCUUGCUCAACUGCAGCGACAACGACAAUGUCGAGAGUACUGCUGUUCCUGGUCGUGCUCUGGGCUCUCUUUACGGGCUUUGAUGGCCGUGUUCUUGAUGCAGCAUUACCAGCUACGUCAGGGAAUCGGAUGAACAAUGGUCAUCGCCACAACUUUUAUGUAGUGGGCGGUGGUCGCGAGCUUUAUCUCGGCACGAGGAGGUCGGUCCUCCUUGACAGGCCUGCACCCGGAGGACCUAAUCCACACCACGACUCUGGACCCGGAGGACCUAAGCCACACAGCGACUGACAAUAGUCAUCAGUCUUGCCUGGCUUUGUUUGGCCCUUGGGAAGAUCCCUCAAUUGCAUGCAUACAAUCAAGAAGUUGAUUAUAACAAGUGUUUAGACUUUGUCUGUAUGACAGUCUUUCGAGUACUGUAAGAAUAACAAUUUGUUGUGAGUCACGAAUUCUGGAAGAAGUGAAUCUUAUAAUAAUUUAUAGUUAUUUGCAUUUUGAUUUUUUGUGAUUUAUAAUAGACUAAUAUUCUCACAAUACAUUAAAGACUAUUAUGCAAUCAUUUAUCGAAGUGUUUUGCGCAAUGAAGAUGACUUAUAUGUCACAACUCACCAUAUUUGCUCCCUUUAGUUCAAUUGUGGUGGAGGCAUGGAGUCCAAAUGCAAUUAUAAAUGGACAUUUUAGAUUUAUUGAGUAGUUCGAGUGUACGCAUAUCUAUUUUCUAAUAACAUUAAUGAGGACUAUUUUUCAUUAGUUCUAGGUGAAUGUGAUAAGCUCUCAUGUAAAAUGUGUGAUCUAUUAAGAACGAUCAAGAAUUUAUAUAUGUAUUGAUUGUUCGUGAUAUAGUCGAUGUUCAUAUUCUUAAGUAAUCUAAUUCAUAAAAUGCAAUCUAUAUCAAUAGUUACGUAGCAAAAUAAAUAUAUUUAGUUCUACCAACCAAAAGAAGUUAUUAUAGAGACCUAGCAAUAUUUUUUUCCACGUUCUUGAUCACUACCAUGCUUCACUAACUUUCUAAUAUGGGCCGACUGACAAGCUCAAUUUAUUUUCCUAAUAAAUGCCUUGUAAUAUAAUCUUUUAUGACUAUAUGUAUUUCGCAAUCUUGCGUAUUUUGGCCUUGCCAUGGGCUCAAACCACUAUGCCCAUGAUUGAGUCUAAUUCUAAAACAAGAGGAGUUGAAAUUAAUGGGUUUCUCAAUUAUCAAUCCGAGUCUAAAAAUCCCAUAUAUAAUCAUUUUAGUGCACCAACAAUGUUGACACCUAAAUUUUGGCAGCCCGAUCAUUUAUUUAUUGCAUAGAAAAUUAGGGGUUAAUUUUAUCCUUGAAAAAAUAUUAAUUGCAUAGCAUGUAGGUUUAUGUGCAUUUAUUUUGCAUUUGCAUUUUUUGCAUUUAUUUAUUGGACCGGUGGCGGAUGGAUUCAAAUUAGUAGUUCUGAGCUUUAACUUGGCAGAUCAGAUUAAACCAUGAAGCGAGCAAAUUGACGUAAGUCCGUUUUCUUUAAUUAUCUCGUGAAAAAUAGGAAUUUGAAAUUUUUCGUAGAUAUGAUGAAUCUUUUAGAUAGGGCAGAUGUGAAAAGCGAAUAUUGCAAAAAAGAAUCUUCGUGGAUAUCGAUUUGGAAAUUAAAAAAGAAAAAGAAAAAAGAAACCCUAAUCGCUGACCUAUAAAAAGGUAAAAUGCGUAGGUUUCGGGAGGCCACACAAUUCCAUACACGGCCGCCAUUGAGAGAGGACACGUUCGUGAGAGUUGAACAAGUCACGGUUGAAACCUCUUCACGGCCAUGAAUUUGUCAAGUUCGUGGCCGUGCCUCGACACCGACCCUGCUGCCAAUCGUCCGUUGCAUUGACAACGACCAGCUUUGUCGCGAUCCUCUCCAAUGAUAAAGUAGCAGCGUGCACCCCUCGCCUGGCGGCGAUAAACAAUCACGAAGUUUUGGGGCCUACACGCAAUUGCAAACCCACGGCCAUUAGUGAGAGAAAUCGUGAGUGGGCACAUUGAGGGGGAAAAUCGAGAGAAAGGGGGGCGGCAUUAAAAAAGAGAAAAAUAGAAGAGUUUCCUUGUCUUUUCAGUAGGUCAGCGAAGGACAUGCAUGAAGGAGCUUGAUACCCAAAGGGAGAAAGCGAAGUGGAGAUUUUUGGCUUGGUCUGUCCGGUCCUUGCAGCGAAAUCAGAAUCUCCAGCAAGCCUUGCAGUCGCACCUUGCCAUAUGCUCCAGUCACGCUCAGAUCAGCAAAGUCAGCACCUCCUCGGGUUCUUGUCGCUGCGCCAAUCCAAUCCUUGACCGACGUUCAAUUUUUUCGACGAGUGCCUAGUUCCUGGUCAACACCCGAGCAUCGCAACAAUGGCAGUUCAGCAAACUCUUUAUCCAGUCCAGUGCACUCUUGAUAUUCUUGCAGGUUUCCUAGCGAGUCUUCGUCGCAACUAGUCCCUUCUUGUGACGAAUACUGACCCUGAUUGCUGCUACCCCGAUGAGUCUAUUGCUUAACCGACAUUGCUGUUGCAACCUCAGCAAUAGCAAAUCUUCCACUGCCCAGAAGCCGUGCUGCCCCCUCUAGCCAAGAGUCAUUAUCGCGCAUCAUGUAACGCCCGAGCCCCACUGUGUAAUAUUGUCCGCUUUAGACACUGAAUCCUCAAUGCUUUACAUUUUAAAACGCGUUGUGUUAUACAGAAGGGACUCAAAGCUUUUAUAAACUAGCCCAAAUGCCCCCCUAUGCGAUGUGGGAUGGGAGACAGGCCUUAGCCUCACCCACGUAUUGGGUCGUCACAUUCUCCCUCCCUUAAAAGGCACAAUGUCCUCGCUGUGGCCCCCACACACGGUCGGGAGUCGGCUCUGAUGCCAUUUGUAACAACCCGGGCUCCACUGUGUAAUAUUGUCCCCUUUGGACAGAUUAAAGGGACUCAAGCUUUUAUAAACUAGCCCAUGACUCCCCCCUAAGCGAUGUGGGACGGGAGACAUGCCUUAGCCUCACCUGCGUACUGGGUCGUCACACAUCACCCUAGUCAAAUCAUGAGGAGCACCACCACAGCCCCUGCCCUUGAGCUGUGCUGCGCUACGCCUCCAUCGUUGGUCCACCUCACCAUUUGAAUUUUUGGAAAAACUUCAAUUUUGGUAGAGAUUUAUUUUAUUAGGUAGAUUUGUUUUAUCUUAUUUUAGUUUUUGAUAUUUUAUCUCUUUGUUUGAAAUAUUUUCAGAUGCAUGAUUGAAAUUCCCUGAUGUAGCAUCCAAUUCGCAGCCGCACGAAUUUUUAUUCUAUCUAUAAGGCUUUAGAUGGAAUAAUUAUUCACGUGGUAGUAAAAUUGAUAUAUUGAUCUUUAAGACUUAAAAAUCAGUUUAUCGAUUUUAUUAGUGAAAUAAUCAAGUUUGAAUUUCAAUUCAAAUGGUGAAUAACAUUUUUGAUGACCAUGGAUGAUUUGGUGUUUAUCUUUUAAUUGUUCUAUUUAUCCCGAAAAUACAAAAAUUGCAUUUGCAUCCCAUGUAGAUUAGAAUUGAUUGCAUGAUAGGUUAGUUAGAUUUUUUUUUUUUUUUUAAGAUGAAGGUAUUUAGAAUAGAUAACAUUUCACUUUAGUUAGAUUUUUAUUUGUAGUGAUUUUAAUUAUGAAUUUUCAUAAAAAUACAAAAAAAUCAUGCGCAUGUCAUGUAGGAUUAGGUUCAUGAAAUGCAUGUCAUUUAGUGAUUGUUGCUAAGUUCAUUUAAUUAGAAAUUACCUGUCAUUAGAAUUAGGUCAUUUGGUUAAUUUAGAUUGCACAUUUAAUUAUUACAUUUAUUUAGAAAUUACUUUACUUAUGUCAUAUAGCUUAGGUCAUAUUGUCAUGCCAUAUCAUUUCAUGUUAUAUUAGUAGCAUGGCAUUGCAUAUAGAUUAGAUUCUCAUUGAAUAAGUGAAAACCAAAAAUUAAGUGAUUGCUUGUUAAUUAGAAAUCAUAUCUAGAACCGUUGAUGUGAAUUAUGAUCUAACAACGUAGAUGCUUUCAUUGCUAGUUUUGCAAUUUAUUUAUUACUUUCUUGGGUGUUAAAUUGGUGGUUUGCGCACCCGCUUGAUUACCUCACAUGUUAGGGAGAUAAAUUUAAAAUUAAAUCAAGCUGCCUACAAAAUAUUUUUUUUUUCGGAAAUAAAAGAGAAAUGUACCAAAAGGGCGUUAGAAAAAUCUAACGUAAUCAAAUCUCUGAACUCACAAUCUUUGAUUCGCAGAAGUAAAAUAAUUCUCCUGUUAUUAGGUAUCUAAUCGACCUAUUGUAAACUAAUUAGUGACGACUCUCUUUUGCAUGUGAAAUAUUUGAACCUAAGUCGCAAAUUGGUAUGAGCUUAGGAAAGCCCGAGCUAAGUGAGACUUAGUAAUCCAUUAGUCAAACCCUAGAUGUUUCACCCGAAAUUUGGUCGCGCCAAACAAUAUGACCUUGGAAUAUUUUCCAAAACCUAGGGCAUUUGGGGAAACCUCUCUUCUUUCGACAAUCAAGAGAAUACUCACUAAUACUUGCGUAUAUUUUUACUAGUAGUGAUGAGAUGUUGACCAACGUCCUUGAAUUAUUCACCAACCUUUUCUAAAUAACCUAAUAGCAUUUUAUUUACCACAAGUAAUGAAAAUUUAAUACCUUUGAGAAUCUACUAAAUCUUCGGGACCCUUAUUGCAUGGACAUUUUUAGUAUGCUACUACUAUUGUGUACAAUAAUGACUAGGGCCCCAUCAAUAGCGUAUCAGAGAAGUUCCUAAUUGGAAGAAUGCGAUCAUCGACUUAACAGAUUUUUCUGGACAUUCAUCGUAUUGAUUAUUGAAGGCGGAUGGCCGUUAUGAACAUGAAGACUAAAAAGCAUACUAAUACAUUGAAAAUCUUUCCAAGCAAUACCGUCAAAGUAGCACGACCCAUUCCUAAUGCGAGCGUGAGAAUACUUUGCAAACUCGUUCAGACAUUAACUGCUUAGCUAAUUAAUGACAACCAUUCACCAUAAGAACCGAACCGAACCGAACCAUAUUGACCUACAGAAAAACUUACCUUACUAGAACUACCAAACAAUUAAUUAGCCUAUUACCUAUUGAAAAAAUUUACUGAUUAAUUAAUUAAUUAAUUAAGUGUUUACUGAUUCCCAUUUUAGUGAAAAUGAAGCUUUGACAAGAGGAAGAAGGAAGGGGGGGGGGGGUGAUUUCCUUUUUUCAGAAAACGGAUAUCAUUUCUCUCUUUUUAAGAAGGGUGUUUUCCAUUGACCGGAAAGUAUUUUCUUUGUCCACUCAUUUUCCAUGCUACAAACACCGGAAACUGUGGGAAAGUUUUUCGCAAAAUAAAUACGGUCUCAUCAUACAUUUGAGAACUUGCGGAAAUCUUGUUUGCGUGGGCUGGCAUCAAACCCGGCCUGGCCCGGCCCGACCUCUCACGGUCUUGCUGGCUGCGUCGAGCGUCCACGACCAAAGGGAGGAUUGGCUUGGGGCAACACGUCAUCGGAUGGAUGGGCCUCUUCCACCCCACCAUUGAAGUUCAUCCAUCCGAUCCACUGCUGAGAUACUUUUGAAUUGAAUCUCUCGCGGUGCGGGACUCCCACCACCCGCUUUCGUGCGAAACCAAAAGCCGCUGUUUGCAUACGGCCCCAGAAGCGGCGCCGUUUUUCAGAAAGCUCCCGAGCAACGCGCUCUUUCCGCUGUUGCUGCUGGCGCACCAACGCGGCCGUCAUUUCCAUUUAUGCGAUUUUAAAAUUCCCUUAUUACAGAUGUUUAAGAAUUUUUCCUCGUUGUUGGAAACACUCAUCAAUACCAAGAAGGUAUUUCUAAUGCAUUUCUUAACACCAUUCCUUUAAUCAUAAACCUUUUAAGAUUUGCUAAUUUAGUCAUUUGGCGAUCUAGUUAGCACAAACUGUUCUAUAUAGCACAAUUGACGCUAAUUAGACAAUUUUUUAAAUUAUGCAAUUCUUUCUAUUUCUUUUUCCCUUUUCUUUUCCUCUGGCCUCAAGUGAGGGUCGCUCAAGGCCUAAUGUCGACGACCUUUGCCGGCCAUUUACGAGGAUUGGCGAUGGUUGGCAUAGGGAUAAAGGGAAAAAGAAAAAGAAAAAAGAAAAAAAAGACAAUGAGAAAAAAUAAAAAGAUAAAAUUUAAAAGAUAAAAUAUUGCAAAAUUGUCCAUAUUAGUGGCAAACUCUACUACCUAGGAUGGCUAGCAUUGAUUAGACUGCUAUGUCACUGUUUUUGGUUAAAAUUAGCCGGAAUGACUAAAUUGGCAAAUUGUUAAAAUGUUUUCUUGGCAAAAGGUAAGGGACAUGAGGAAAAGAGUUUAAGAGUACAUUUGGAUUAAUGGGACGUGAGCACUUGGAAUGCCAAAACUUGGCUUAGGGAGAUACUUAAGUGCCAAAGGUUUGUAAAUGUAUACCUUGUCCCAAAAUAAAAGUAACAUGGAUCAACUAAGUACCAACACUGAGAAAAUCCAGUCAAAAUACUAACAUGGCAUUUUUUCGAUUAGACAAGUGCAAAACGACGUUGUUUUAAAUGUUGACGUGGCUAGAUAAACCAACAACAUCAUUUUGCACUCUGAUAUAGCUAGAUAAGCCAAAAGCAAUGUCAUUUUGCCUGGGAUUUAAAUUUUAGUAUAGAUAUUAAUUAAAUUAAAUUUAAAACUAAAUUUAUAUUUUUAAAGAAAAAAAAAGAAAUUGUAGUUCGGCAAGGGCUAUGCAAGCCCUCACCAUUGCCUCCUCACUGUCACCCAGGGGGAAGGAUUGGCCACCGCAGUGAGGACUUGCAUAGCCCUUGCCAAAUGUGCUGCAAUUCCUUUUUUUUUUUUAAUAAUUUAAUUUUAAAUUUAACUUAACUAAUAUUUAUAUCAAAAUUCAAAUAAAAGGCAAACCGAUGUCGUUUCGGCUCUUCUUUACUGACUUAGCUUUUCAGUAAGUCACUUAGGCAAGUUAUAUUAUUAAGAAAAUGCUAUGUAAAAUUUUCGGUACUCUUCGUUGAAGUUGGCACUUAAAUGUUCCAUCUUUUUUUUUUUUUAAGUGGCACUUAUAUGUACAUUUCGUAACUUUUAGUGCUUAAAUAUUAUAUACCAAAUUUUGGCAUUCACACUAUACUUCUGCCUAAGAUUAGCAUUUCGUAAAGUAAUAUGUGUGAUCGGCCAAAAGAAAAAAAAAAGUGAUGUGUGGAAAAGAAAAAAAAAAAGUGAUGUGUGUGGGCCAGCGUGGAUUCGAAACCCAAAAUGAAUUUGACGGUCCACGAAAUGCAUUCCCUCUCCCCUAUUCACGAUGGUCUCUCGAUUGCUUUGUUGCACGGCCAAUGAUAUGGGGAUGGAGAUCCUCUUUUCUGGACCGUGUAUCUCUGCCCUUAUAACUCAGUGGCCACGUGAACCUUGUCGAGAUCUCGUUUAGUUCAAUUGGCCAUUAUGAUCUCCCUAAGAUCUAUAGGUAUCGUGGUCAAAAUUUUGACCAACACAUUAGAUAUGGAUUUGAACAGGACGCCUCUAGAUAUCUUCGUCAAGAUAUCUUGUCAAUGGCUGGCUGCAGGUCAUUGGCCAUGGUGAUUAGCCAGCGGAGUUCUCCUGGCUGAUCGCUAGCCAUCUAGUGGAGGAAGAAGGCAAAGAAAAGAAAAGGAAAUAACAAAUAAAAAACUAAAAAAAAAAAUUUAAAAACUUAUCCAUGUCAGCCUUGGCCACGGCACAUAAGACGACCGAUACUCAUGUCAACAAUUGCCAAUCAAAAUUGGCCUGAAAAAUUAAAUUGACAAAUUAUCAAAAAGUUUGUGACUAAAUUAACUAAAUCGAAAGGUUUAUGAUAUAGUUUUUUUUUUUUUUUUGUAAUUAUUAGGCCAUUGUGGUCAAGAUAUCAAUUGAGAAUAAGAAAGCGGUAAAUAGAAUUAUAGAAUUUUCAUUAUAUUUUGGUGAUAAAAAAGAGUAGAUGGAGGGCCUAUUUGUAGGCCUUUAAUAUAUUACUAUCUAAAGAAAUUAAAGAAAAUCAAAUCAGAUAUGCAUAAUAAAAAUAAAUAUACAAUAUUGAGGGGAAAUAGCAAGCAGCCAAUGUGACUGACUUGGAAAAUAGUAAUUGAGUGAUGCGGCCUAUAUUACUAACAUCGUGGCAUUAAAUGGCCUAUACUGCUAGUUAAGGAAAAUAGUUACUAAACGACGUGACCUAUGCGACUAGUAUUUAAAGAAAAGCCACCUCCAUGAUAAAGGCUUGACUAGGCAAUGCACUUUGCACGGCUGGCCAUCAUGCAAUGGAUUAGAGUAAUCACUUCCUCAUAUUAGACUUGUGUGUACAACAUGAACAUUGGUAACUACUAAAAAAUGGGGAUGGAGGAAUUACUUGGGUAUGCAUUAGGGUUGUCAAAUUGCAUGGGUGUGUGGGUGCAUCAAGUGCGAGGUGCACCCAGUGCACUAGGGUUGUCUUAGAAAUGAGGCUCUGAUAUCAAGUUGAGAAUGAGAAAACGGAAAAUAGAAUUGUCGAAUUUAUAUAUAUAUAUAUUCCUAUGUAUAUAAAAGAGUUGAUGGAGUUAAAUUUUAAUAGAUGAUCAUCAAAGGUAAUCAAAUAAGAUAUGCAUAAUUAAAAAAUAUAUAGAAAAUUAGAGGAGUAUCCUAUAUCAAUGAAUCGAUCAGAUAUGGAAUUGGACAGGGCGUAUUUAGAAAUCUCGUUGAGAUAUCUUGUCAGUUUCAGUGAUGAUUGUGCAGCUCGAUGCACCAUGUAAAGUUCUGCUCUACAACUCGCAAAUGCUUCACGUGAAAUCACGUGCUACUGAAAAAGGGGAAAUAAAUUGAAACAAGCCACGGACAAAUCGAAACGUGGCGAAACAUGAGGCAACUGAGAUAUAUUUUGAUACCGCUUUAUAUAAGACCAAUAGAACUCAAAAGUUCAAGAGGUCAGGUUUCACGUUAUCCUAGGUAAUUGCGCAUGACAUGGGAUGCCAAUCGAGAUAAAAAUGCAUGAUGAGCAAUGUAGGACAAAUCAAAUCACAGAAAACCAUCCUCAUUCGAAGGUUUUUCCCCAUAUAUAAUUCCCAUUUGACUCCUUAAAAGGUGCUCUCCUUUCCAUGACUUUCACCAAAUGGAAAAAUAUGGAGAACUCUUGCGAAGGUUCAUUACGUGGAGCCGCGCAUUUGACUGAAUAAUUUAGAAGAAAGAAGAAAGGCAUAUGUGGAUCUCAUCUUGAUAUGGGGCGCCAAAUUUUCCUACCUUACAUACCAAUUAAAAAGAAUAAGGAAAAAAGAGAGUUCCCUUCGAAACAAAACUUGAGAGAAAAAACAAAGAAAUUGUUCUGUUUUGGAUAAUUGUUGACGUGAUAUACCAAAUGCAUCCGCAUUUCUCUGUUGAGUUUACUGUGAUUUGAUGUCUAGAAUUUCGCAUCAGCAGCAUUAGCAGUAGAUGUAAGUAUACGGGACAUGCUAAAACCUGCUAUCUAGAGUUGAUAGCACGUUUUUUUUUUUUUCACUCCAAUUAGGAAAAAACAAAUACUACCUAUGAUCAUUAUUGUAAACUUCACAAGUAACAGGUGUUUUUUUAAUAAAAAUAUAUUUUUUUUUAAUAAUCCAAACGCAUCCAUUACCUGGAUCGUAAUAAUGUUAUAAUAUAAUGCGGAAACUAAUGAUUAUAUAAAAUUAAAUAAAUGCGAGAGAAUGAAAAUACUAAAGGAAUAAAUAAGGAACAAUAAAUAAUAAUAAAAAAUCGAAAUUUACAAGGUAGAAGAGUUAGCUGUAAAUAUAUCAAUAAACAAUGAGAAAAUGACAGUGGUAUAUUCGCUCACACACUGAAGUAUUUUCCAAUUCUAAGUUCCCAUCAGCAACAGGCCAUAUUCUCCAGCAAAGUCCUCUGACCAGCACCUCCACGAGUGUUAGUUCUCUUCUUCAGACUAAAAACAAUAUCCCACAAACUUCGUAUGAUGAUAAAGAAGUGACACGUCAAAUGUGGAAAUUGGCCAAACCAAUAGGAACACUUCUUCUUGUUAUUUCUUUGAAGAUUUCGGCCAAGACUAAUAGGAGUUUACUUCCUUAUUUUUCACACAAGAAAGGCGACAACAAUCUGGACUGUCCAAUUUAAUUUCGGGUCAGAUUUUUUUCAACAAUAUAAACUCGAAAUAUAAUGUAAUACAUGAAAUACCCUACAAGUCUUAUGAACUUCAAGUCUUUAACCCGUACUGAUAUCCCCAAAGAGUAGCUUACACGUGUUGGUGGGAUUUGAAUGGUUUGCCACUAGUUACUGAGCAUCCCAACAUCCUAAUCAACUGUGCCAACCUUGAAAAGCAGCGCAACAGUGCACGGAGAAUUGUAUAUUUUCUAAAUCUCACUAGAUAAAUUGGAAAUUUACACAGACAAACAUGUUUCACUCUUGCUAUUGAUAUGACAAGGGUAAGAUCUUACUAAGCAAAAAAUAAUAUUGUAUAUCUAUAAUCAAAUUACUUUAUCUUACAUGAUAUGAUAAGAUGGGGUGAGUAACCAAUAUUCUCUUUCCAUGCUUCUCAAGAUUACAUUUGCUAGAAUAAUUAAAUGUUGAACUAUACCUUCAUCUGCAAGUUUUAAUCCUUUAGAACACUUGAUAAUGGUUCAAACAAUAUUCUAACAAUAUUAGUUAUCUCUUUUGUUUAAUGGUGGUUUCUUGGUGGACACAAGAGACUCUUCCUCGACGUUUUCUCCAUAAGCUAAUAUACUCUAGAGGCCUAUCCCAUUAAGGUGACUCCAAUAUCCUUUGUUAAGAUAUGCAACAUGAUAAAAAAUCUUACCAUCUUGUCUUGGGGAGGUCACAGGGGGAAGGCAGAAUCCAAGCUCAUGUAUAUACCCAAUUAGAUAUCAUUUCGCUCAUAAGGUUAAGCUACUAAGUUAUUAUGAGGUAGAUAUAUUAUUAACUUCUUCAUACCCAAAUAAUUUCCCAUGUGAGUCUUUGAAUUUUCAUUAGUACCCAACAUGUUCAUGGCUAAGCAGGUUCUUCAUAAGAUGCUCCUCCAAUUCCACCUUUUGUUCGAACAAAGUAUUGGGGAACCGAGGCAAAGGAAAUUGAAUUCCUGAGGCUGGUAAUCGAUAUUGAUGAUGUUUUUCCUGUUAUGAUGCAUGUGUGAAUGAGUUGUAUUAGAGAAGUCCUACAUCAGAGAAUUGAUUUGGUAUGGAACAAUUAAUAUAUCCCAGUUGACUCAUAACUCAUUAAUUUAAGUUUUUUAGUGGAGAUGGAUCCAAUUGUAUACAUUGAGAGUUCAAACUUAAGCUCCCUCUUGGCAAUUCACCUAGAUAAAGAUAUCAAAUUUCUACCACGCGCUCCCAACAAAUGGUAUUGGAGCCCAUGGUUGUGAUUUCCAGGCAUGUGGACAUUGUAAUAUAGUAACACAAGCCCAUAUGAAGUUGAUGUAGAAGGACGUUUGAAUUAAGGGGGAGCACACAUAAAACUAAGCUUACACAUGAGAGGAAGAUUGUUAGAGAAAUUCAGAGAAUUGAUAUGGUAUGAAGCAGUUAUCAUAUUCCAGUUGGCCAAUAACUUGGUUUAAGCUUUUGAGCAAAAAUGCGUCCAACUAUAUAUGUUGAUGGGCUCAAACUUGAGCUCCUUUUUGGUAAUUUCCCCAAGUGAAAGUAUUGAACUACAACUGCGUGCUCCUAACAUUUCCAUCUUUUAGUUGAGUGACGUGGAGGGAGAUUUGAAGGGGACAAUCGAGCCAGCAAGUGCACAAUAUAAAAUGAUGUGGUCCUGCAUACCCUUUUAACAAGGAUUUUAGGUACGCUCAAAAGACUUAGUAAAUAUUUUUUCUCGACAUUACCUUCUGUAGAUUCUCCACUAGAGAUUUUUAAAUAAAGGGAGACAAAAGAGGAAGGUCAAUUAGUUGGAUAUGCGGACAUAGUGGUGAAUGUCGACUCUCUAUGAUUUGCAUGGAGGUUUUGUCGCAGGCAAAAGAACACCCGAAAUGCCAAAACUUAACACAAUAGAACAUUUAAGUACCAAAAGUUAAGAAAGUGGUACUUAAGUGCCACUUUCUUGAAAAAUGAGACAUUUGAGUGUCACCUCUGGUGAACCCCAUUGGAAAUCUUAUGUGAUAAUUUUUUAUUAAUUUUGCUCACCUACGUGGCUUGCUAGAGAGCCGACUUAGUAAAGAAAUGCAAAAAUGAUGUCAUUUUGGCAUAGAUUUGAAUUAUAAAUUAAAAUUAAAAUUAAAUUAAAUUUAAAACCAAUUUUUUUUUUUUUAAAGGAAGAAGAUGAAUAGAGGCUAGCGGCUGGCGACCCUGGCCGACCCUCCCCUCACAGUCGCGACCCUUCCCAGUGACGGUGGGGAGGUGGCGGCGACAAGGGAUAAGCCCUCAACUGUUGUUCAUCUUCUUCCAUUUUUUUUAAAAAUUAGUUUUAAAUUAAAUUUAAUUAAUUUAUAUAUUACUUAUUUAGCCACGUCAACAACAAAAUGGAGUCAUUUUUGCACUUGUCUCUACACGUUAUCAUGCAAAAUAAUGUCGUUUUGCACACUUGCCUCUCCAGAAUAUUGCCACAUCAGCAUAUUGACUGGAUUUUCUCGCUGUUGUCACUUAACUAAUCUAUUUUGCUCCGAUUUUAGCACUUAAGUGUUACUUUCGUAAUUUUUAGGACUUAAGUAUCCCUGUACCAUGACACUUCAGAUGUCCCGGUAUCCUCCGUCGCAUAAAGUGAAAGAAAAUUAACUUUUCACAUGCCAUUGGACUUCUCUAUUUGCUCCUGCGAAUUGCUUAUCCAUUGCCAUGUUGCAGCUUGUUUAGUGAGUAGUUUGGCACCUCCACCUCCAUCCCCCAAUGAUUCAUUUUUGAAGGUAAGAUGAUCGAUAGCUCGUUUUACCAUAUGGAAAGAUGUCAUGUUGGAGAUGGAGAGAGAUUGUGCUUGUACUGGAACUUCAACCACUCAUGCUGGGGAACUAAUAAAAACAAAAAGAGAAGAGACUAAGGCCAUGUUUGGUAACCAUUUAAACAUGGCUAAAUUUUGAUUUUUUGUUUCCAGAAUCAGUUUGUGCCUAGAAUUGCGUAUAGUAAAAUUUUUGUUAUCGGGAACAGAUUGUGAUAGAAUCAAGAAUAAAAAAAAAAUGUGAUUCUUGUUCCAGAAUAAAAAAAAAAAAAGAAUCAAAACCAACUAUUUUCUUCUAUUUUCUUCUUCAAUUGCGCGGUUGCGACCGAUUGCCGGCAACCGAUCUAGCGAGCUCAUCGGUGGUUAGGCCGGCCUUGCCGAGAUUAGGUGAGUCCCACCUAGCCUUGCGACACCAACCCCACCACCUAGCCCCAGUGAGGCUCAUUGGGGCUGGGCAAGCCUCACGACGCCAGCCCCACCACCCAGCCCCAGUGAGGCUCACCUAGCCCCACCAGUAGCCAGGCAGUCCUCGCCCAGCCCCAGCAAGGCUGGCUUGGAAGGCCGGCUUGGAAGAAGAAGAAGAAGAAGAAGAAGGAGGACGAAGAAGAAGAAGAAGAAGAAGAAGAAGAAGAAGAAGAAGAAGAAGAAGAAGAAGAAAUCAAUGAGUACAGUACCAAACACAAUUUUAUUCAAGAAUAAAAAAUUUUGGACAGUUACCAAACGGCUUAAAAUGCUUAGAAUAUGUUCCCGGGAACAGAAUAAAAAAAAAAUCAUUUCUGAUCAGAAUCUACUCCCAGGAACAGAAUCGUUACCAAAUGUGUCCUAAAAUAUUGAGAUCCUUUCCGUGCAGCAGAGGGUAAUGUCACAUCUUCACUUGGUCCAAAUGAGAGAGUCAUAAGCCAAAUUCAAACCAGCGACGGGAUGUGUUUUUACUACCUUCCUUUUGUCCUUUCCUUCUUCUCUGAGCUAAGCUUUCAGCUGCAACUUCCGUCGCACCGUCGCGAACUAGAGGUCGCGGACCUCCACUGUAUUUGCGUGCUACCCCGCUGGUCCCUCCCUCCCUCUUUAUUCUCCCUGAUUCGAUGCCAUGGAGGUCCACCUUGGAUGUGAGGUCACUGACCAUCACCUUCACCGAUUUAGAGGCUCAUGACCUUUUUUAUAUUUUCGUUCGAAGUCCAUGACGUUGUGAGAUCUAAGAAGGCGUGACUAAGACGAGUAGUGGAGGCAGGCUAAGGGAGAUAGAAAGCAGGAAAGAGAAUGUUAGGGUUCUAUGGCGUACGAUGCGCAAUUGCAUAAAGUAUUUUUGAGGUGACAAGACAAGGUCCGAUUAUCCUCUACUCGUAGAAGAUCCAUAUGCAACAACGAUAAAGAGAAAUGACCAUUAAAAAAGAAAACUUCCUUAACUAGGGUUUCAACUUUGCGAUUAGGCGAUGAUCUAAUGUGUCAUAAACACUCUACGUUAAAACUUUGAUGGCAACAUUAUAUUUCUUGGGGAAAAAUUGUCCAAAACAUUCUAAACUUAUUAUUUGGAGAUCAGCUUAAUCCUAAACUUUUCAAUUGUGUCAAUUUAAUCUUAAAUCUUUUAAUAGUUUGCUAAUUUAGUCUUUUGGUCAAUAGUGGCUGGAAACCGUUGACAUGGACAUUAACUGGUUGUCAAUUGACCUUCAUGGCAUUGCUAGCAUUAAAGUGGAUAACUUUUGCAUUUUUUUUCUUCUUCUUUUUUUCCUAUUUUUUACGAGGCUAGACACAAGUGAAAUGAAAAAUAAUAAAGAAGUGUAAAAAUUAUCCAUAUAAAUAUUAACCAUGCCACAUCAAAUAGUCAAUAGCUAGCUGGCAUUCAUAUCAUCGAUUUUUUUUUUGUCAAAAUUAACAAUUAGUAUUAAAUUGACAUUAUGGAAAGGUUUAAAGUUAAAUUAGUAGUCUUAUAAUAGGUUCAUGACCUUUUAGAUAAUUAACCCCUUUUACAGUAUUCUAACAUUUAUUAUCCAAUAUUAAGCUUCUAAUUUGAAAAAGUAAAACUCAAACUCUAUGCCUAAACCACCCCAUCCCCCUUUGGGUUGCCGUUGCGCGUCAUCUUCAGCGCUCGAUCCCUAUGACAUGAUCGAAGUUGCAUGAAAAUGAUAUGAAAAGGCGAGGUGCGCACGGGUACAUUUGCGCGCGUGUGCAUGGGUGCGUAUGUUUGACCUAUCCAUAUGAGAUUUGUAGUUUCAUGAAGACGGUCCGUAUAGGGUAGACAAUUAUCAAAAGAAAAAAAAAAAUCCUUAGGUUAUUGCACUUUAACCAAUUCAAUUAUAAACAUUACUUUUAAAAUAAAGUUCAAAAGGUCGAUGGGGCCGCUGACCAUUGGCCAAGGGACGGUGAAGGUAAUCUGGCACCAAAUCUAAUGAGGCCAGGGCUAGCGACCCUCGUUGGCCACAAUGAAGGCUUGUGACGCAUUCACUAGCCAUGGUGAGGGGCUGUGACCCCUCAUUUGUGGCUGACAAGGGCUUCACGACCAUCACCCAAGGCUCCACAAGGACCAUUGGCCCUCGGUCAGUGGUUGGUGGAGGUUGCCAGCCCUUAGCCAAGCUACUGGCCCAUUGAACCCAAAAAGAAAGAAAAUAAAAGAAAAGAAAUAUAAAAAAUUCCAAAACUUCGCAUUUUUUUUUGGACAUGGACUUAAUUGACAAAACUUAAAAAUAAUUAGGAUUCAAUUGAUAAAAUUAACAAAAGGGCAAUAGGUUUAGAACCUUUUGGAUAUUUUUUUUCCCUAAAGAGUGAGAUUUCAUGGGUUCUUCUUUUGAGAGUGACAAAAUCUUUGAGUGUGAAAAGCCUUAAAGAAAUUCUUUGAUCUGAGUUUGGGAGGAGGAAUCCUUGGAAAUCAUGGCCUCUGAAGUCGGUGCAAGUGUGGCAUCCAUUAAGUCCGUUCAACUUAACACCUGAUCUCGACUCAAUUUGAUUAUGCACAACCGGAUACAUGAACUCAAUUGAGCAUUUAACUUGAGCCCUGUUUAGUUAAAAAUAGACAAAGUCGCGUUCCACUCAAACAAUGAAUUUUAACUGUCUUAUUGUAAGUUGUUCCGUGGACUUUUACUUAGCUGGGUUUCUACGCCAUGCCCCUAAAUAAUCCACACACACACACACACAAAAUUGCACUCAACCAAACUCGAAUAGCAAGCGAAGAUCUUAACCUAAGCUCGAACUUAAUCAUGAAGCCCUAGGUGGCAACAGUGUACUUAUAAAUUAGUAGGUACUACAAUGUAUGAAUUUUUCUAAAAUAUAUAAAAUUUCAUCUACUUGAUUAAGCUCGCGACUAAGAAAGUCUGAUGUAAGCAUUUUCAACCUCAAACUGGACUCAUAAGGUAGUACUCUAGUUACUUGACAUCGACCUGAACUCAAGGAUAAUCAAGUCGAGCCGGACUAGCAUACGAACCAAGCUCAAGUAGCUCUCCCAUGGCAGCUUGAACCACUUACUUUCCUACCUUACUUUAUCCUCCACUUUUGUCGUGAAUCCAAUCAUAGAGACCCGCUCUCGUCGAUCCACUCUAGCUUCACGACAGACAAGAACGUGUAGGCGGAAAAGAAUAAAAGGGACUUAUAACGGUAAUGGGUGAUAGCGACAUGCAAAAAUGCGUCAUGAAAAAGACAAGUCGGGGAUUGUACAGCAGUCUCCGCGUCGGAUAAAUCUGUCUUGGCGUGGUCUUUUAACUAUUAUCUGUACCACUAGCCGAACAUCCAAUGGUCUGGUUCACCGAGUCUGUACAUAGGGCAGGUCGUAUCUCAUUGCAUUAUCGGGCUCCUACAUCACUCCUUGCAUCUCUCCGUCGAACAACUUCCAAGCUUUUCAGAGACCAUCAUGGCUUGCUCAACUGCAGCGACGACGACAAUGUCCAGAGUACUGCUGUUCCUGGUCUUGUUCUGGGCUCUCUUUGCGGGCUUUGAUGGUCGUGUUCUUCAUGCGGCAUUACCAGCUACGUUAGGGAAUCAGAUGAACAGUGGUCAUCGCCACACCUUUCGUACUGCGGAUGGUGGUCACAAGCUUCGUGUCGGCACGAGGAGAUCGAUCCUCCUCGAUAGGGCUGCACCCAGAGGACCCGAUCCACACCACCAUUGACAAUAGCCAUCGAUCUUGCGUGGCUAUGUGUGACCCUCGGGAAGAUCCCAAUAUCGCAUGCAUACACUAAAGGAGUCGAUUAUAAUAAGUGUUUUGUGUGGUGAAGAUCACUUACAUGUCACCAGAUUUGAUCCCUCCAGUUCAGUCGUGGUGGAGGCGUGGAGUCCAAAUCCAUUUAUAAAAUAAGAUGUUUAAGAUUUUUUUUAUCAGUUCAAUUGUACGCAUUUCGAAUUUCUUAUAACAUUAAUGAGAAAUAUUUUUCAUGAGUUCUAGGUGAACGUGGAAAGUUUUCAUGUAAAAUGUGUUAUCUAUUAAGAAUGAUCAAGAGUUUAUAUAUGUAUCGAUUUUCCCGAUAUAGUCGAUGUUCAUAUUUUUAAGUAAUCUUUAUUCAUAAGAUGCGAUCCAUAUUGAUAGUUAUGUAUCAAAAUACAUGUGUUUAAUUCUCCCAACCACAAGAAGUUAUUAUAGGGACCUAGCAUUAUAUUUCCCACAUUCUUGAUCACCUAUUAUGCUUCACUAACUUUCUAAUAAGUGCCGACUGACAAGUUCAUUUUCUUUUCCUAAUAAAUGCCUUGUAAUAUAAUCUUUUAUGACUAAAUGUAUUUCGCAAUCCUGCCUGAAUUGGCCUUGCCGUGGGAUCAAGCCACCAGACCCAUGAUUGAGUCUAAUUCUAAAACAAGAGGAGUUUUUUUUUUUGGUCAACCCCGAAUUGCCCAGCCCUAACAAUUGUUCAAUUAAUAAUAUAGGUGGAACCUAAGUAGACCUGAAACCAACCCUAGAACUUGUGGUUCUAAGGUAUUUAUAAUAAGUUUUGAGUUCCUAAAAAAAGAGAGAGCAUGUUUCAAUGAAUAGGCUUUAGGUGGAAUCUGUAAGAAAUCUAAAACUGCUCACCCCUUACAACUCCAGUCAACGAAUGCGUAGGGGAAGGAAAAAUAACUUUCUCCACUAACAAAGGGGGAAUUAAUAAAACAACCGAUUUUAUUUAUCAAGGGUCUCUUGCUUGUUUUUGAAACAAACCCUACUAACUUUCUUUUUACAGCGAUGCGCGAUUUUAAAAUUCCCUUAUUAAAGACGUUUAACAAAUUUUCCUCGUUAUAGGAAACACUCAUCAAUACAAAGAAGGUAUUUCUAAUGCAUUUCUUAACGUGAUUCCUCAGUUUGGUCGGAUCGAUUAUUGCAUGAGAAGAAUUACCUUUUUUAAGAAGAUGAAUUAAAAUAAAAUAAUUGUAAAUGGUAGGAGUCUUUGUAAUUUCCUAAGCAUUUAAGCAAUUAUCCAUAUAUAGCAAGACUCUGAUGUAAAAAUGGCCCUUUUUUUUAGGGAAAGAUUUAAUUAAGGAAGGCGAGAAGAGCAACAUGAUUUAUCUAUCGAUUUGGUUGCCUUGAUAAAAUACAAGGAGAUAAAAUUAAUAAUAUCCAAUAUGAAAUAUGAAACAAAAAUUAACACGCUGAGAAAACGAAAAAAAAAAGCAACAAAAAAAAAAAGAAAAAGGGCAAAAAGGAAAGUGGAGAAGAAAAAUAGCUCUCCUUUCGAACUAAUAUCCCAUAUAUUUUUCCCAUUUGGCUCAUUAAGGGUCAGUUCGUUUCAUAAAAAACAACUUUCGGGAAAAUAUUUUCUGGAAUUUCCAAUGUUCGGAUCGUGAAAAAUAGAUGGUCAAAUAAAAUUGUUUUCUGAUCAAUGAAAAAUCUCCCCAUCAAAUUGUAGAAAAUGAUUUCCUCUUUCCAAAAGAGGAAAUCAUUUUCCCAUCCUUAUGCACGCACUGUCAUGUGCUGCUUCUUUCCUUUCUCAUGAAACCCUUAUGAUCUCAUCUCCUCCUCCUUCGACAUCGACGAUCAACAGCGGCGGAGCAUCCCCUCAUCUGGCGGUGCUGGAUCUCCGCCCUCACGAAGCCUUGGGUUUUAUUUAUUUAUUUAUUUAUCUCGUCCUCCUCCUCCUUUGACGUCGACGAUUAGCAACAGCGGAGCGUCCCCUCAUCCAACGGUGCUCGAUCUCCAUGACGUGCCCUACUUCCUCUUCAUUGCUGGUCGCCGGCCACACCACAAGCCAGCUCGAGCCUCACCCCAGGCCAGUGAGGCUCCGCCUAGCCCGAUCUAGUGAAGCCGAGCUCGAGCCUUGCCAAAUCAGGUGAGGCGGAGCUCUCACCGGCUUGGGACGGAGCUUGGGCCUAGCUAGAUUCAACGAGCUAGGCGAGGCUCGAGCCUCGCCCAAGCUCGCUAGAGGUUCGCCUAGCUCUGGUGAGCUGUGAGCUCGCCGAAUCUGGCAACAGAGCUCGGGCUCCCGAUCUAGGUGAGCUUGAGCUCCGCCGCCAGAUUCGAUGAGCUCGCGGCUCGCCAAAGCCUAGCGAAACUCUAGCAAGCUCAGGCGAGAUCGGCUGAGCCUCGAGCUUGCCGGAUCUAGCGAUUGUGUCUUAGUCAGCCGAUGAGCAGUUGGUCAUUGUCAGGCAUGUGGCAGCGGAGGAAGGAGGAGUAAGGAGGAGGAAGGAGGAAGGAAAAGAAAAAGAAAGAAAAAAGAAUAAAUAAUAAAUAAUUCGAUUUUUUUAAAAUACAAAUAAUUAUAAAAAAUCAUUUUUUAAAAAUAUAUAAUAUAAAACUAAUUUUUUGGUCAAUUAAAAAUAUUAAAAUUCAAUUUUUCACUUAAAAUUUAGGUUUCGGCCGAACACCGGAAAAUAGUCAUUUUCUUGAAAAAUGACUUCUAGGAAAAUGUUUUCCGGAAACAUGAUAUGCCACAUAAGACGAUUAGUGUAUACAUCAAUGAAUGCUGGUCAAAGUUGGCCUGAAAGGUUAUAUUAGCAAAUUAUUAAAAUAUUUAAGAUUAAAUUGACUAAAUUAAAAGGUUGAUGAUGGAAUUUUUGGUAAUUAUCACACUAUUGUGGUCAAGAUAUCAAUCGAGAAUAAGAAAGCAGAAAAUAGAACUAUGGAAUUUUUAGUAUAAUUUGAUGUAUAAAAAAAGCAUACAUGGAGAGUCUAUUUAAAGGCUUUUAAUACAUGACUAUCUAAGGAAAUCAAAUGAGAUAUGCAUGAUCAAAAUAGAUAUAGAACAUUAGAGGGGAAAUAGAAAGCGGCUGAUGCUACUAGCUUGUGAAAUAGUAAUUGAGCGACACGGCCUAUAUUGCUAGCGUCAUAGCAUUAAACGGCCUAUAUGGCUGGCUUAAGAAAAAAGUUACUAAGCAAUGCAUCAUGUGCGGCUGGUAUUGAAAGAAAAGCCACAUUUGUGAUAAAGACUCAACUAGGCAACACACUUUGUAUAGUUGAUCAUCAUGGAAUGGAUUAAAUUAAGCACUUCUUUAGAUUAGACUUGUGUACACAAAGUGAACAUUGGUGACUAUUGAGCGAUGUUAACGUUGGAUUUAUUUGGGUAUGCAUUGGGGUGCUCGAGAUGCAUAGGUGCAGUGGGUGCAACAUGCACCCAGUACACUAGCAUUAUCUUAGGAAAUGAGGCUCUAAUACCAAGUUGAGAAUGAGAGAACAGAAAAAAGAAUUGUGGAUUUUUUUUGUUGUAUAUUUCAAUGAAUCGGAAAUGGAAAAAGUACAUCCCAAGUACCAAAACUUGGCACGAGUGAACACAUAAAUGUCAAAACUUCAAAAAAGUAUACUUAAGCACUAAUUCCAAUGAAAUAUGUUGGAAAUUUGACAUGGCAUUAUUUUAUUAAUAAAACUAGUCUAUGUGGCUUGUUGGAAUGUACACUCAACAUUCUUAUCCCAAAAUGAUGUUGUUUUGCCCCUAAAUUAUAUCUUUAAUAUAAAUAUAAAUAUUAAUUUAAUUUAAUUUAAUUUAAAACUAAGUUUAAAAAAGAAAAGGAUUAGAUCUAUGGCCAUGGAGGCCCUCGCCACCGUCACCCCACCAUCACAAAAAGCGGCAAGCUAGGGUUGCCGGCCAGUGGCCGAGGCCCGGUGACCCUGGUCGACACUUGCCCCAUUAUUGCCGACUCUUUCCAAUGAUGGCGAGGGCCUUGAUAGCCCCAAAUCUAAUCCUCUUUUCUUUUCUUUUUUAAAUUUAGUUUUUUAAAAUUAAAUUAAAUUAAUAUUUAUAUUAAAAAUCGAAUUUAAACCUAAAUGGCGUCAUUUUAGUUUAUAUAGUCACGUCAGUAUCACAUGGAUACUUUAAAAAAAAAAAAAGAAUUACCACAUCAAUUAAAAAUCUUACUAGAAACUGUUAUGUCAGCAAUUUGACCGGAAAUUUUUGCCCUUAACACUUAAGUAUUCCUUAUUCUUCUUCUUCUUCUUUUCUGAUUUCAGCAUUUAAAUAUACCUUUUGGAAAUUUUAGCGCUUAAAAUCUUUGUCAUCCUAUAUAAAAGAGUCCAUGGAGUUAAGUUUUAAUAGAUAACUAUUAAAGGAAAUAAAAUAAAAUAGACAUAGUCAAAAAAUAUAUAGAAAAUCAGAGGAGUAUCCUAUAUUGACGAAUUGAUCAGAUAUGGAAUUGAAAUUAGAAAUCUCGUCGAGAUAUCCUGUCAAUGUCAGUAAUAACGGCUGCAGGAUUGACCCAGCAUGUAAAGUUCCGCUCUCCAACUCGCAAGUGCUUCACGUGAAAUCGUGUGCAACCGAAAAAGGGGAAAUAAACUGAAACAACAAGCUACAGACAAAUUUAAACGUCGUGAAACAUGAGGCAACUGAGAUAUUAUUUGAUACCGAUUUAUAUGAGACCAAUUGAACUCAAAAGUUCAAGUGGUCAGGUUUGACGUUAUCUUAAGUAAUUGCGUAUGAUAAGGAACGCCGAUCGAGAUAAAAAUGAAUGAUGACCAAUGUAGGACAAAUCAAAUCACAGAAAACCAUCCUCAUUCGAAGGUAUUUCCCCAUAUAUUUUUUUCAUUUGGCUCAUUAAAAGGUGCUUUCCUUUCCAUGACUUUCACCAGAUGGGAAAAUAUGGCGAACUCUAGCGAAGGUCUAUUACGUGGAGCCACGCUCUUUAUUAAAUAAUUUAGAAGAAAGAAGAAAAAGCAUAUGUUGAUCUCAUCUUGAUCCAGGCGCCAAAUUUUCCUACCUUACUUACCAAUCAAAAAGAAAAAGGGGAAAAAGAAAAGUUCCCUCCGAAACAAAAACUGGAGAGGAAAAAAAAAAGAGAAAUUGUUCGGUUCUGGAUAAUUGUUGACGUGAUAUACGAAAUGCAUCCGGAAUUGUAAUUUUGUGUCUACAAUUUGGCAUUAGCAGUACAUGUAAGUAUACGGGAAACCUGCAAUCUAGAGUUUUUUCUUUUCUUUUCUCUUUUGACAGUGCUAUCUAGAGUUGAUAGCACAUUUUUUCACUGAAACGAGACUAUCUAUGAUCAUUAUUGUAAGCUUCACAAAUAAGGGGUGUCUUUUGAUAAAAAUCCUUUUUUAUAAUCCAAAUGCAUCCGCUACCUACAUCCUCAUAAUGUUGUAAUAUAAUGCAGAAACUAAUGAACUCUACAAUUAAAUAAACAUGAGAAUAUGAAAUUACUAGAGGAAUAAAUGAGGAAUAAUAAAGAAUAUUGAAUAUAUAUUUGGUGAAAUAGUCAACUGCAAAUAAUCCAAUAAACAAUUGGAGAAUUAUAGUGAUAUAAUCACUCACAUGCUCAAGGAUUUUCUAAUUCUACAUUACACCCAAACCCGCAGUGUUUAGUCAAGCAGCACUACGGGCCAAACAGCACCUCCACAAGUGUUAUUCUCCUCUUCAGACCAAAAACGAUAUCCCACAAACUUUGUUUAAUAAUAAAGAAAGUGAGACCCAAACCAGAAAAUUGGCCACACCAAUAGAAAAAACUUCUUUUUGUUAAUUCUUUGAAGAUUUCGGCCAAGAGUAAUAGGAGUUUACUUCCUUAUUUUUUCACACAGUAAGGCAACAACGGUCUGGACUUUCCAAUCUAAUUUCAGAUUAAAUUUUGUUCAACGAUGCAAACUCAAGAUAUAGUGUAACACGUGAAAUACUUUGCAAGUCUCAUGACAUAAGAUGGCAUGGUCCUGCAUUAUCUUUUGAUGAGGAUUUCAAUUACAAUUGAAUGACUUAAUAAAUCUUUUUCCCCGAUAUUCCCCUCCUAAGAUUCUCCACCAAAGGUUUUUAAAAUAAAGGGAGACAAAGAGGAAGGUUAAUCAGAUGGAUAUCUGGAUAUAGCGGUGGACGUGAACUCUCUAUAAUGUGCAUGGAGGCUCCGUCGCCAACAUUCUCUAGCAUGCGCAUGGGCAAGUGCAACCGUGAUUAGACUAAGGAGAUAUUCCUGACGAUCUAGUGAAAAAGAACAUAAAUCCGCAUGCCAUUGGAAUUCUCUCUUUGCUCCGGCAAAUUGCUAAUCCUUUGCCGUGUUGCAGCUUCUUUAAUGAGUAGUUUGGCACCUCCACCUCCAUCUCCCAACGAUUCAUUUUUGAAGGAAAGAUGAUCGAUGGCUCGUGUUACCAUAUUGUAAGAUGUCAUGUUGGAGAUGGAGAGAGAUGGCGCAUGUAGUGGAACUUCAGCCACUCAUGCUGGGGAACUGAUAAAAACAGAAAAGAAGAAGAGACUAAUAGAUUGAGACCUCCGUGCAGCAGAGGGCAAUGUUACAUCUUCACUUUGUCCAGAUGAGAGUCAUAAGCCAAAUUCAAACCAGCGAUUGGAUGUGUUUUUACUACCUUUCUUUUGUCCAUUGCUUCUUCUUCUCUGAGCAAAGCCUUCUGCUGCAAAUUCCGUCAGGCCAUCGCGAACUAGAGGUUGCGUUCCCCCACUGAAUUUGCACUCCACCCCGCUGGUCCCUCCCUCUUGUUCUCGCUGAUUCGAUGCUAUGUGGCCCGCCUUCGAUAUGAGGUCACGGACCACCACCUUCAUCGAUAAGGUCCAUGACUAUUUCUUUCUUUUUUGGUCGAAGUCCAUGACGUCGUGAGAUUUAAGAAGGUGGGACUAAGGCGAGUAGUGGUGGCAUGCUAAGUGAGAUAGAAAGCAGGAAAGAGAAUGUUAGGGUUCUAUGGCGUAUUGUGCGCAAUUGCAUAAAGUUUUUUUGAGAUAAGACAAGACAAGGUCCAAUUACCCUCCACUUGUAGAAGAUCCAAGAGAAAUAACCAUUAAAAAGAAAACUUCCUUUUCUUAUUGUUCUUUGAUAAUAGUUAGGUUGAAAAUUUAACAAGAAUUUAAACUAGGGGUGAGCAUGGUUUAGGAUAGAACCUGAAACUUGAGAACUAGACUAAUGAGAACUUGUUCGAUUUCAAGUUCCAAAAAUUAGGGAGUUUAUUUCUUUGGAUAGGUUCUAAGUUCUAAAUUGGUCGAACUCAGAACCUAAAACCUAACAUCUAGAACAAAUUUUGGUGUUUUUCUUGAUUCAUGUUUUCACGCGAUUCAAUCUAGAACCAUUAGUCUAAGCUUCCAUCUUUUCGUAUGUCUAAAUAUAAGUUAUGUCCAGUAAAUUGUAGCAACAAGUAGUGGUAAUUAAAAGUGAUAAUUCAUUGUAAUCGUUCAAUUAAUAACAUAUUUAAAACCUAAGUAGACUCUGGAACUAACCUUAAGGUCUUAGAUUCCAAAAUAUGAAAGGUAGGUUCGGGUUGCAAAAAUGAGGAAAAUGUUUCAACAAAUAGAUUCUAAAUUUUAAGUGGAACUUGUACAAAACUUGAAACUGCUUACCCUCUAGUUUGAACUUCAAGAUUAAAUGAUGAUCUAACGUGUUAUUGACACUCUUUCCGUUAAAAUUUUGAAUGGUAACAUUAUCGAAAAUUAUAAAAAGUCAUAAAUCUAUUGUAUAGGGUUAACUCAGUCCUAAACCUUUUAAUUGUACUAAUUUAGUCUUAAAUCUUUUGAUGAUUUGCUAAUUUAAUUAUUCUAGUCAAUUUUAACUGGAAAUCGUUGACAUGAACGUUGGUUAGUUGCCAAUGGUCUUUUGUCACAUUGCUACUACUAACAUGGACAGUUUUUGCAUUUUAUAAUUUUUUUUUCUUUUUUUUUCCCCUUUCGUUUUUACAAGGCUGUUCCCAAGCAAAAGGAAAAGGAAAAGGAUUAAAAAAACAGAACAAGAAAGGAACAAAAGGAAAAAAAUGCAAAAAUUAUUCCCAUAAGUGUUGGUCAUAUCUAUAAGACAGCCGAUAGUCAAUUGACGUGUUUAGGAGUAAAUUAGUCCAAUUGAAAAAUUUAGGACUGAAUUGAUUAUUGUAUAAUACGUUUAUGAUCUUUUGAACAAUUAUCCCCAUUUUAAUGAUAUUCUAUCAUUUGUUAUCCGAUAUUAUGAUUCUUACUUUUAACUAAUGUUAUAAUUUUCCUUCAUUCCUUAUUGAAGAGGACAUCCUCCUUCGCACUCUAGUUACUAAGGGUGCGAAUGGUAACGUUUCUGUUCUUUUUUUGUUACAGGGAACAGAAACAAAAAAAAGUGUUUCUGUUCCGGGGAACAAUUUUUGAACAAAAGAACUCGUUUGGUAACGUUUGUUCCGGGAAUAAAAAAUGAAUAGAAACAUGUUUGGUAAAUUUUAUUCUUUUUUUAUUUCUUUUAAUUUUUUAAACAUUUUUAUUUUAUUUUUCAUUUUUUCCUUUCUUUUUUAUUUUUUCUUUUUUCGGCCGGUCACCGGCCUCCGGCGACCAGCCGAUGGGGUCGGCAGCCUUGCCUAGAUCUGGCGAGGCCGAGCUCGAGCUCGCCCAGAUCUAGCGAGCCCGAGCUCGCCCAGCCAAGGCGAGGCUCGGCCUCGCCCGCGCCGGCGACGCUCGGGCUCGCCGGGGGCCGGCGACGCUCCGGCGAGGUCGCCGACCCUCGAGGGCGUUGCCGGCCCUCGACGGCCGGUCGCCGGCCAUGGCCGAGGCCGGCGACCGGCGAAAGAAAAAAGAAGAAAAAAAGAAGAAGAAAAGAAGAAGAGAAGAAGAAGAGAGAGAAGAGAAAAACGUUUCUUCAUUUUUGUUUCUGGAACAAGAAACAACAAAUUGUUGUUUCUUUUUUUUGUUCUUAUUUUGUUCCGGAAACAAAAAAACAAAAAAAGAACAGAAACACAACCAAACGCAUUUCUGUUCUUUUUUUGUUCCCGGGAACAAAAUCCGUACAGAAGUGUUCCAGAAACGUUUCUUUGGAACGUUUCCAUGCACGCCCUAAGAUACAACACGCGCACCGUUCACAUAAAAACUGGACUUCAGAAAAGAACGAAAAAGUAAAACUCAGAACUCCAUGCCUUUCCCUGGCCCAUCCCCUUUUGGGUUGCCGUCGUGCGUCACCAUCGGGUCGUUCGUUGCACCACCUCUCUCUCUCUUUCUUUCUGCGCGUGCGCGUGUUUGACCUCUGUAUCUGAGAUUUGGACAGAUUUUUUAAUAAAAUUUAAUAACUUUUAAUAAUCCUUAUUUUCUUCCUUUUUAUUCUCUUUUUUACUUCAAAGGGCCGGCGGGCCACCUAACUAAGGGCUAGCUACCCUUGGGUGAGGUCAUGGCCCGCACCCAAGAGCAAUAGGGAUCAUCGGUCCUUUGUUAGUCCAAACUAAAAAAGAUAAAGGAAAUAAAAAAAAUCAAAAAGUUGGCCAAAUAAACUUAAUUUGUAAAACUUAAAAAGGUUUAGGACUCAACUAAGAAAAUUAAAAAGGUUUAGAAUUGAAUUAGUAAACAUGCAACAUGUUUAAAAAAUUUUGGAUAAUUUUCCAUAGAAAGAGAUUUAAUAAGAUUUUUGUUUUGAGAAUGAUAAAAUCAUUGAGUGUAAAAAGCCUAAAAGAAAUUGUUGAUUUGAGUUUUUUUUUACUUGGGAGGACAAAAAAAUUUUGCUGGAAAUUAUGGCCUUCAAAGUCGAUGCAAGUAGGGCUAUAAUAUUAAUAGAGCCCAUUAAGUCUGUACGACUUAAUAUCCGUUGUCAACUCAAUUUGGUUAUGCACAACCGGACUAACAUACAAACCAAGCUCAAUUAGCUUCUUCCAUAGCAGCUCGAAUCAUUUACUUUCCUUACUUCAUCCUCCACUUUUGUCGUGAAUCCAAUCUUAUAAGCCCGCUCGUCGAUCGACUCUGGCUUCACGACAAACAAGAAUGUGCAGGCGGAAAAGAAUGAAAGGGAAGCUCACCAAUGACGGUAAAGGGUGACAGCGACAUGCAAAAAAGCGUCGUCAAAGAGACAAGUCGUGGAUUGUACAGCAAUCUCCGCGUCGGAUAAAUCUGUCUUGGCAUGGUUAUUUAACUAUUACCUGUGCCACUAACCAAGCACCCAGUGAUCUGCUUCACCGAGUCCUAUAAAUAGGGCGGGUCGUGUCUCUUUGCAUUAUCGGGCUCCUACAUCACUCCUUGUGUCUCUCUGUCGAACAACUUCGAAGCUUUUCAGAGACCAUCAUGUUUUGCUCAACCGCAGCGACGACGACAAUGUCCAGAGUACUGCUGUUCCUGGUCGUGUUCUGGGCUCUCUUUACGGGCUUUGAUGGCCGUGUUCUUAAUGCAGCAUUACCAGCUACGUCAGGGAAUCAGAUGAACAGUGGUCAUCGCGACAACAUUUAUGUUGUGGGCGGUGGUCUCGAGCUUUAUCCCGGCACGAGGAGGUCGAUCCUCCUUGAGGGGGCUGCACCCGAAGGAUUUGGUCAAGUUGCACCCGGAGGACCUAAUGGACACCACAACUGGUAAUAGCCAUCAGUCUUGCAUGGCCUUGUUUGACCCUUGGGAAGAUCCAUCUAUUGCAUGCAUCCAUUAAAGGAGUUGAUUAUAAUAAGUGUUUUGUGUGGUGACAAUGACUUAUAUGUCAACAGAUUUGAUCCCUUCAGUUCAGUCGUGGAGGAGGCGUGGAGUCCAAAUCCAUUUAUGAAAUGGACGUUUAAGAUUUUCUUGAGCAAUUUGAGUGUACGCAUAUCCAAUUUCUAAUGACAUUAAUGAGAACUACUUUUCAUCAGUUCUAGGUGAACGCAAAAAGCUCUCAUGUAAAAUGUGUGAUCUAUUAGGAAUGAUCAAGAGUUUACACACGAAUUGAUUGUUCUUGAUAUUAUCGAUGUUCAUGAUCUUAAGUAAUCUUUAUUCAUAAGAUGUGAUCCAUAUCAAUAGUUACGCAUUGAAAUACAUGUGUUUAAUUCUACCAACCACAAGAAGUUAUUAUAGAGACCUAGCAAUAUUUUUCCCACGUUCUCGAUCACCUAUUAUGCUUCACCAUAUAUCAUGCGCUAACCAACAAGUUCAUUUUCUUUUCCAAAUAAAAGCCUUGUAAUAAUCUUUUUAUAACUAAAUGUAAUUCACAAGCCUACCCAAAUUGGCCGUGGCAUGGGCUCAGACCACCAGACCCAUGAUCUAGUCUAAUUCUCAAACAAAAGGAGUUGAAAUUAAUUGGUUUGUCAAUUAUCUAUCAGUCUAAAAAUCCUGUAUAUAAUCUUUUUAUUGCACCAACAAUAUGAUGCUGGAAUUUUUUUCCAAAGCCUAAGGCAUUUGGAGAACCCUCUCUUCUAUCAACAGUCAAGAAAAUUGAUAUGGUUGAGAUGGGUGAGAGUUGUUUUGAGUGAUUAUCAAUAAUAAUCACUAAAAAGAUUCACUCACACAAAGAAAAAUCUCAAAUAUUCAUAUCAAAAUUUACCAUCUUCCAUUUAAGAAUUCGCCUUAUUAUAUAAAUGGAUUAUUACAUAGGAAAUAGACUGAAAAUUGAAGAAAAGAAACCAUCUAAUUAAUUUAGGACAUUGGAGCUAGAAAAAAACAUAAUAAAGUCAUAGGAACUAUAAAUGCAUUGAAACACCCAGAGACUUGAACUUUUGAUUGGGAUUAUUAUUAUAUGGGAAAUAGAUUAAUAUGACAUUGGAACUAAAAAAACAUUAUAAAAUCCUAAUAAUUAUAAAAUGCAUUAAAACACCGAAAGACUUGAACUUUUGACACUUGAAACCUACAACACACUUAUAACUUUAUUGAUGUUGACAAGAUGCAAAGUAAUUAAAAUAGAUGUUAAAUUCGUUCGUCUCUGUGGGCAUAACAAUAGACAUCUUCAAAGAAUGCCAAACAACAAAAAAAUUGUCUAGAACAGCCUUUGGUUGUUAGAUAGUCUAUUAAUAAUCUCGGAUUGACAACAAACUUGUAUAUUGAUGUCUCGGUAGCUAAUCAACAACCAUGAAAUUGGCAACUUGUCCAUUGAAUAGACAACUUUUCCGAAUAAUCAACAUCUUUCACUUGAAUCGAUUGACGAAGCCCAAUGCUCCCGCAUCAAGAAUUCUCGCUAAUACUUGUGCAUAUUGUUAUUAUUAGUGAUGAGAUAUUGACAAGCGUCCUAGUAUUAUUUACCAACUUUUUAUAAAUAGCGUACUAGCAUUUUAUUUACCACAAGCAAUGAAAAUUUAAUACAUGUGAAAAUCUAUUAAAUCUCCGAGACCCUUAUUGCAAGGACAUUUUCAAUAUGCUACUAUUGUUUACAACGAUGACUAAGGGCCUCAUCAAUAACGUAUUGGAGAAGUUCCUAAUAGGAAGGGACGCGAUCAUCCGUUUAACAGAUUUUUCUGGACAUUCACCGCAACAAUUAUUAAAGGCGAAUGGCCAUUAUGAACACGGAGACUAAAGCAUAGUGAAACAUUGAAAAACUUACCAAGUAAUAUUAUCAAAAUAGUGCGACCCAUUAUUGAUGCACACGUGAGAAUACUUCGCUAACUCGUUCAGACAUUGACCGCUUGGCUAAUUAAUGACAAUCGUCAUCAUAAGAACUAAACCAAACCAAAUCGAACCGUACUGACUAUGAAAAAGUUACUUACUAGAACUACCAAGCAAUUAAUAGCUGUUUACCUAUUAAAAAAAUUACCGAUUGUUUAACUAAUUAAGUGUUUACCAAUUCCUAUUUUAGUGAAAAGUAAGCUUUGACAAGAGAAAGAAGAAAGGGAGGGGGGAUGAUUUCCCUCUGUCAGAAAAUGGAUAUCAUUUCUCUCAUUUUUAGAAGGUUGUUUUUCAUUGACUGAAAAAUAUUUUCUUUGACCACUCAUUUUCCACGCCCCAAAUACCGGCUAUCGAAAUCACUGGGGGUUCGCCCCAGUGGCCACCCUUCCAACUUGGAAGGGGGAGGUUGGGGGUUCAAAUCCCCACCUUCUUAGGGGGGAUUGGGAUGGGGAUGAUUUCAUUUCAGGAGUGGGUUUCGACUCCCACGCCCUGCAAGGAGGUAAUGACAAAAGUCUGAGAGUGAGUGUUAGAGUAGGAUUAGAGUAGGACCGACAAAAAAAAAAAAAACACCGGCUAUCGUGAGAAAGUCUUCCGCGAAACAAACACGGUCCCGUUAUACAUUUGAAAACUUAAUCGAAAUCUUGUUUGGGUGGGCUGAAACCCGGCCCAGCCCGGCCCGACCUCUCGCGGUCUCACUGGUUACGUCGCGCGUCCAUGACCAAAGCGAGGAUUGGCUUGGCUUGGGGCAACACGUCAUCCGUGGGGCCCCUUCCCCCCACCCUUGACGUUGACAUUUAUCUGCACCGGCUGACGUGGCCUCCGCGUGCUGGUCCCCGUUGGCAUCCAAUCCACUCCCUAUACUUUUAAAUUGAAUCUCUAGCGAUGCGGGCUAGGGGUGUCAAAAAAAUCCGAACUGACCCGAACACGAAAUAAGUAUAAUACAUGUUUCGUGUUCGAGUAACAAAUAUGAAAUAAGUGGAAUACAUGUUUCAGGUCGGGUUUAGGGUCGGAACAUUAUUCGACCAGGAACACGUUAACACCCCUGUUCCAAACAAGUCACCAAACACAAACAAACGUGAUUUCGAAAACCCCUCCCCUUUGGCUUCUUCUCCGACGACUGCGCUUCUUGUGGAUUCCGUUCCGCUGCCACCCUUCGGUCGAUGCGCCUCCGCCUUGCCAUCGCCGUCGCUGUCGCCGUCGUCACCCCUCGUCUCAAUGCCGGAACCCUAGCCGCUGCCAAAUCAGUCAAUCGUCGCCGUCUAGGUCUCCAUCUCUCGUCUCUGUUAAGUAUAAAGGAACAAAGAUGCUCAAUGCAGAAAGAAACGAAGAUGCUCAAUGCAGAAGCAAAAACAGAGGACUUGGAUCGCUAGUCAUAAAGUCAAAUCAGUGGCAAAGAUCUUAUAAAGAAGAUCAACCUGGAUCGAUGAUCAAUGAACGAAGAUGCUCAAGGGAUUAAUGACUCGGAUCGCCAAAGUCUUAAGAAUAGUCAAAUAGAUUCUUUCUGUUAAAACAGUUACUGUAUUCAGUUUUCCUUUGUAACUAAGUUCUGUUACAUAACCGGGUAUAAAUACUCUGCUUUGCUUUACAUAAGUAGAAAAGUAGAAAGAUAGAAACAGAGUAAGAGAGAGAAGUCGCAAGAGUUGAGAGAACAAGGUAUCAAGGUCAUCGACUAAUGCAGCAAGGAUUGCGAUACUAAAGAGAAGAAAGUUUCGGAGGAUGAAGAAUAGCUCAAAUCCGAAACACUGAAGCAAGUUAAGUACAUUUGAUCUUAGAAGAUAGAACAACAGAAGUAUAUUCAGAAUCUAUCUUUCAAUUGUACUAAGAUACAGUGAUAUGAUCAUCAUUCGGAAAUACAAAUUGUCUUCAGAGUUGUUCACUUGAUCUUGUUUGAAGUUCUUCAUCUUUCUCAGUCUCAACAUUGGAACCCUAGCUGCUGCCGAUUCCUAUUGUUUUAGUGGGAAAGCACUGGAGCUGUGGAUUUCGGUUUUUCCUUGGAGCUGCUGCGACUUCUUGCACACGCGUUUACACAACGGCUUGACGAUCCAGGGUAUUUAAAUUCGUCGGCAGGCAUUGAAGCUCUUCUCGUUCUUGGUAAGGUUUUGUUCUUCAGACGCCAUCUCUGCUCCUUUUUUUUUUUUUUUUUGUUUCUUGGAUGCUUAUCUUGAAUUGGUGUUUCUUUCUUUCUUUUGGGUAUAUCGUGGUUUUGCGGUGUCUCGUCUGGUGCUCUGGUUCUUGGUGGGUCUCUCUGUUGAUGGGUCUUUCUUGUUCGAGCUUAUCUUGUUAAAGUGAAUGGUUGGUUGGUGUGUGAAUGGAGAAUUCUGUAGAUAGGCUUCGGCGAAGCGUUUCAGGGUGACGGGGAGAGGGAAGAUUGUGCGGAAGAGAGCUGGGAAGCAGCAUCUGCUGGCGAAGAAGAACACCAAAAGGAAGUUGCAGUUGUCGAAGUUGGUGGGUUCUUUUUUUUCUUUUUUUGUGCAAUUCUUGCUGUCUUGUUGCAAUCUAGCAAGCAAAGCUCUGGUGAUUAUGAGGAGAAAUGAGCAUUUUGGUGAAAGAAAAUCAUUUCAGUUUUCACAUUUCUGUAUCUCAAAAUAUUAUGGUGGAUUGUCCACACUCCACGGUUAGAUUGUUCUCUGUGUACUCUUACAUUUUACAUGUAGGAAUCAGAUAUGGUACAGUGAUGGCUUAAGUAGCCAUUUCAAUUGUUGCAGGAUAUUGUACGCUUUUGACAUUGGAUUGAAUUGAUCUUGGUCAGAGUUCCUUUACUGAUAUUUUUGCUGCCAUGAAGCUUUGAUGACACCACAUGCACAACCCAUUUUUGGUUCCCCCUCGGGUUGGCUUAGUGUGGAUUAAUCUUGUUAUCUCAUAUCUAGAUGAGCAUUUGCUAGGAACAGUGUGGCUUUUGAUUUUGUGUGCUUGGUGUGUUCGCAUCAGCAAUCAGCAAGCAUGCCUAAGCUUGUAAGAGAAGAAGCCAAAGAGAAAGAAGUAGAACAACGAUAGAGACUUGAGAUGCAAUCACUGGCGAAGUAAACCGCGACAAUGAUGAAUGAUGAGUAGAGAAUUGAACGUUUCCAUGAAAGGAGAAUUGUUCCAUAUGCAUGUUUCUCAUUUUCUUGUCUGCAGGAUAUUUCAACAGAUUGUAAUGGUAGGUGGCAUUCUCAUCCAUGGGUUGUAGCAAGCCUUCGUCACAUUAGAUGGUCUAAUGUGAAAAAAAAAAAAAAAGAAGGUGAAAACCCAGAAACCCGACCCGACCUGACCCGUCCCAAAACACAUUAGACUAUCUAAUGUGUUUUGGGUCGGGUCAGGUCAGGUCAUAAUGUGUGACCCUUAUGUUUCGGGUCGGGUUGGGUAACAUCAAAACCUGACCCGAUCCGACCCAUUUACACCCCUAGUGGGGGCCCCCACCACAUGCUUUCGUACGAAAUUAGAAGCGGCUGUUGCAUACGCCCAUCAACAUGGCGCCGUUUUCUCGAAAUGCUGGUGCACCAACGCGGGCUGGACGCCAUCGUUUCCGUGAUUGUCCAAUCAAAUAUAUAUUUUUUCUAAUAAUUAUUACUAUUAUUUUAAUUUCUUGACGCACGCAACUCCUAAAAGCGAGCAUCGUUUAAAAGUAAAACCAAGUUUCAAGAUUUAAGAUAUGUAAGUGCCAUAUUUCAAAAAUUAGAGAAUUUAGAACUUGUCUUGAUGGAUAGAUUCCAGGAUCUAAAUAAGUAGAAUUAGAAUCUUGAAACCCGAAAUAGAUUUUAUAUUUUUCUUUAUUUGUAUUUUCGAAUGAAACUCCAAUAUUUCAUUUCGUACAAUAAUGAGUGUAUAAUUUGAAAUCACUAAUCUAAGUUUCCAUUUUAUAAUUGAGAUUAUUACUUUGUUAAUAUUUCAUCAUCAAAAGUAAUGAUUCACCACAAUCAUUAGGGGUGAGCACGGUUCCCAAUUCUAGGGAGGGAGGUUCCGAUUCCUAAUUCCUCUUUUUUUCGAAAUCGAGAAUCAAGAGCAAGAACAAAAACCAAACCCGGACCAGAAUUGAAUAAUGAUUCACCACAAUCGUUAGGGGUGAGCACAGUUCCCUAUUCUAGAGAGGGAGGUUCCAAUUCCCAAUUCCUUCUUCUUUUUUGAAAUCGAGAAUCAAGAGCAAGAACAAAAACCAAACUCAGACCAAAACUAAAUUAGGAUUCCUAAAUCUAAAAUUAUUUAUGCCUUUUGCUUUCCUUUUCACCUUUUGUGUAUUUUUUGCCUUCUACUUUUCUAUUUUCCUUUUACCAAUGCGUUUUGGUUCUUAUAGGAUUUCCAUCAUCUAAUUCACGGAACUUGACAUUAAGAGACUCCAUCCAUUUGUUUAAUUGAGUUGUGUACAUUUGUGGGUCAAUUUAGCGAGCUCUUUGCAAAGACAAACAAGAGAUGGAUUUAAGUUCAUUUCUUAUGAUUUGUUAUAUACUUUAGUGAGAUACCCAUCGGGUGAAGGAGUAAAUUUUGUUUUUUCUUUCCAUUGCUUUAUCAUUCUUCUUCGAGCAAGUAUUUUCUAAAUAAGAUAUUUGGAUAGUCUACAAGGACCUAAAUUCAUCUUUGUUCUCUUCUUUUCUUUUUUUUUUUUGGUCAGAAAUCUUUGUUCUCUUUCCUUACUUUUUUCAUGAUUGUGGCUGCAACUUACUUAUUGUUUCUCUUUAAAAGAACGUGAGAUGAAUGAAAUAACCAUGGAAAAUUCAUAUAUGAAUGAUUAUCCAAAUGCUAGAAAAAUUUGAAGUUGACAAUCAAUAGGGUUUCUAUAUGUUUCUUUUAAAAAGUUCUUUUGCCGCUCUUCCAUCAUUUUUAAGAAGCUAAGCAUGUCUAAACCAAACAUGUCUAAAUGUAUUCAUUAUUAUUGCCUUCAUUUUCGUUUUGUUUAACUAAAAAAGAAAAAGAAAAAAAAUCCGUUUGACCUUGGAACUGAUCUUGAAACCUGUGAUGGGAUAGAUUCUAGGUUUUAGAUUUUGAUAGAUAGGUUUCAGGAACUUAUAGCUGAUAGUAGGUUUCAGGUUUUAGGUGAAACAUGUAAGAAACCUCGAAUUGCCCAGCCCUAACAAUUGUUCAAUUAAUAAUAUAGGUGGAACCUAAGUAGACCUGAAACCAACCCUAUAACUUGUGGUUCUAGGGUAUUUAUAGUAAGUUUUGAGUUCCUAAAAAAAAGAGAGCAUGUUUCAAUAAAUAGGCUUUAGGCGGAAUCUGUAAGAAAUCUAAAACUGCUCACCCCUAACAACUCCAAUCAACGAAUGCGUCAGGGGAAGGAAAAAUAACUUUCUCCACUAACAAAGGGGGAAUUAAUAAAACAACCAAUUUUAUUUAUCAACAGUCUCUUGCUUGUUUUUGAAAAAAACCCUACUAACUUUCUUUUUACAGCUAUGCGCGAUUUUAAAAUUCCCUUAUUAAAGACGUUUAACAAAUUUUCCUCCUUAUAGGAAACACUCAUCAAUACAAAGAAGGUAUUUCUAAUGCAUUUCUUAACGCGAUUCCUCAGUUUGGUCAGAUCGAUUAUUGCAUGAGAAGAAUUACCUUUUUUUUAAAGAAGAUAAAUUAAAAUAAAAUAAUUGUAAAUGGUAGGAGUCUUUGUAAUUUCCUAAGCAUUUAAGCAAUUAUCCAUAUAUAGCAAGACUCUGAUGUAAAAAGGGUCCUCUCUUUUUUGGGAAAGAUUUGAUUAAGGCGAGAAGAGCAACAUGAUUUAUCUACCGAUUUGGUUGCCUUGAUAAAAUACAAGGAGAUAAAAUUAAUAAUAUCCAAUAUGAAAUAUGAAACAAAAAUUAACACGCUGAGAAAACGAAAAAAAAAAAGAAAAAGAAAAAAGUAACAAAACAAAAAGAAAAGAAAAAGGGAAAAAAGGAAAGUGGAGAAGAAAAAUAGCUCUCAUUACUAAGGGCGCACAUGAUAAUCAUUCUCUUUCUGUUCAAGAAUUAUUUUUCUAUUAUAGACUCGUUUUUGGAAUAAAAGUCUGUUUGGUAAAAUUAGAUUUGGAACAUAAAUUAGAAAUAAUUUUUUUUUUACUUUUAUAUUUUUGGAACAAAAAUGAAAAAUAAAAACUUUUCUCAAUCCUUGUCCUCUCUAUUAGCUAGUUGCUCAUCUGUCAUCACUAACCGCCGUUCACCAUCCAUUGUCACCACUCUCAGCCACUGGCCACCGUCGCCAGCUAUCGCUGGUCACUGAUCGCCUGUCGCUACCACUGCCGCCUGUGGUCGCUACCUGCCAUUUACCAUCCGUUGUCACCACUCCCAACCAUUGGCCACCGUCACCACCGCCGUUGAUCGCCGGCCUCACCCUUGGUCAUUGACCGCCGCCACCAAUUGUUAGUUGCUUUUGUUGUUCGACAGCCGCCAGUCGCCGUUUGCCAGCUGUUAACUGUCGGCCGCCGGUCACUGGUCACAGUCCACCGAUCGUCGAAAAGGGAGAAAUUUUAUGUCCUUAUCAAACGAAUUUUUAUUUCAGAAAUAAAAACUUUGUGCCGUUAUCAAAUGCGUAUUUUUGCUUAGAAACUCAUUUAGAAACAGAAAUAAAAAAAUCUAUUUCUCUUCCAAAAAUUAAUUUCUUGCCAGAAUAGUUAUCAUCCGUGCUCUAAAAGGGCAUGAAGGCUGGUCACCCAUUUGGCUACAAACGCAUUCCAAGCUCUCUCUCUCUCUCUCUCUCUCUCUCUCUCUCUCUCUCUCUCUCUCUCUCUCUCUCUCUCUCUCUCUGAAGAGAAUUGAUUUCUGCGUUGUGUAACCACAAAUCGACGGCUUCAUCUUCUUCCUCUUUCGGGCGAUUAAUACUCCAGAAAAUUGGAAUCAACAUAGAAUUUGGAGUUCUCAGAAGCUCAUGUCAAAUGGAUUUCGAUGUCUUUUGCCGACACAACAUAUGGGAUUCAUAGGAUGUGGGUGAGUGGAGCAAAUGCGCGAGGAUUCUUUGGAGGCCCCUGCGGCUGUGAACAGUCCAACAUAGCUGCAAUACUUGUUACCAUUAAUUGCAAGCAAUUAAAAGUACGUAAGAAUGUCAUUUGAGUUGGGAUCAUCCCUAGCAACAAAUUCAAACUACUUCUAGAUAAAAAAAAGAAGAAGAAGUAUUGGCUCAUUCGACAUUUCUAAUUAAAUCAAGGAGAGUAGCAACCAUACAUGGCGCUCUCUCUCAUAGACAUUUAGAUUCGUUCAUUCAGAGCGGCAAAUGCAGAGAAUUCAAGAGAAAUUAGGUCAUUCAUACAUGUGCGUGUCCAUAUGCUAUGCGCACUAAGAAUGCAUAGACAUCAUAGAGUAGGAACUACCAAAAUCUGCGCCCUAGCUUAUCGGACAAUCGCAUGGAUGCGUGUGUUUGACCUUUGUAUCUGAGAUUUGGACAGAUUUUAUUUAUUUAUAAUUUUUAAUAAUUUUUGAUAAUAUUUAUUUUCUCCUCUUUUAUUCUCUUUUUUACUUCAAAGGGCUGGCGAGGCCACCUGGCUGAGGGCUAACGACCCUUGGGCGAGGUCACAGCCUGCGCCCAAGAGCAAUAGGGAUCAUCGGUCUUUUGUUAGUCCAAACUAAAAAAGAUAAAGGAAAUUUUAAAAAAAGAAAAAUAUAAAAAUUGAAAAGUUAGCCAAAUAGACUUAAUUGGUAAAACUAAAAAAGGUUUAGGACUCAACUAAGAAAAUUAAAAAGGUUUAGAACUGAAUUAGUAAACGUGCAACAUGUUCAAGAUUUUCUUAAUAAUUUUCCAUAGAAAGAGAAAGAGAUUUAAUGGGAUUUUUGUUUUGAGAAUGAUAAACUCAUUGAGUGUAAAAAGCCUAAAAGAAAUUUGUUGAUUUGAGUUUUUUCUUUUUUUUUUACUUGGGAGGAGAAAAAAAAAUUUGCUUGAAAUUAUGGCCUUCAAAGUCGAUUCAAAGUUGAUGCAAGUAGUAGGGCUAUAAUAUUAAUAGAGUCCAUUAAGUCUGUACCACUUAAUAUCCGUUCUCAACUCAAUUUGGUUAUGCACAACCCGAGUACAUACAAACCAAGCUCAAUUAGCUUCUUCCAUAGCAGCUCGAAUCAUUUACUUUCCUUACUUCAUCCUCCACUUUUGUCGUGAAUCCAAUCUUAUAAACCCGCUCGUCGAUCGACUCUGGCUUCACGACAAACAAGAAUGUGCAGGCAGAAAAGAAUGAAAGGGAAGCUCACCAAUGACGGUAAAGGGUGACAGCGACAUGCCAAAAAGCGUCGUCAAAUAGACAAGUCGUGGAUUGUACAGCAAUCUCCGCGUCAGAUAAAUCUGUCUUGGCAUGGUCAUUUAACUAUGAUCUGUACCACUUGCCAAACAUCCAAUUGUCUUCUUCGCCGAGUCUAUAAAUGGGGCGGGUCGUAUCUCAUUGCAGUAUCGAGCUCCUACAUCACUCCUUGCGUCUCUCUGUCGAACGACUUCCUAGCUUUUCAGAGAUAAUCAUGGCUUGCUCAACUGCAGCGACGACGACAAUGUCGAGAGUACUGCUGUUCCUGGUCGUGUUCUGGGCUCUCUUUACGGGCUUUGAUGGCCGUGCAUUACCAGCUACGUCAGGGAAUCAGAUGAACAGUGGUCAUCACCACAACAUUUAUGUUGUGGGCGGUGGUCGCGAGCAUUAUCUCAGCACAAGGAGGUCGAUCCUCCUUGACAGGCCUGCACCCGGAGGACCUAAUCCACACCACGACUCUGGACCCGGAGGACCUAAGCCAC
This 37950-nucleotide long non-coding RNA is filed under the name Eucalyptus grandis. Its description in RNAcentral is "long non-coding RNA (EGRA_LNC000264)". The record is from RNAcentral. Lineage: Eukaryota; Viridiplantae; Streptophyta; Magnoliopsida; Myrtales; Myrtaceae.